This 750-nucleotide ribosomal RNA is filed under the name uncultured bacterium. RNAcentral describes it as "bacterial SSU rRNA". It matches the Rfam family "Bacterial small subunit ribosomal RNA", at positions 43 to 783 of the family's 1533-position model. The record is from RNAcentral.
CAGGCCUAACACAUGCAAGUCGAGCGGACCAUUCCUUCGGGGAUGGUUAGCGGCGGACGGGUGAGUAACACGUAGGCAACCUGCCUGUAAGAUCGGGAUAACUACCGGAAACGGUAGCUAAGACCGGAUAGCUGGUUUCCCCGCAUGGGGGAAUCAUGAAACACGGGGCAACCUGUGGCUUACGGAUGGGCCUGCGGCGCAUUAGCUAGUUGGUGGGGUAACGGCCCACCAAGGCGACGAUGCGUAGCCGACCUGAGAGGGUGAUCGGCCACACUGGGACUGAGACACGGCCCAGACUCCUACGGGAGGCAGCAGUAGGGAAUCUUCCGCAAUGGGCGCAAGCCUGACGGAGCAACGCCGCGUGAGUGAUGAAGGUUUUCGGAUCGUAAAGCUCUGUUGCCAAGGAAGAACGCCUCGGAGAGUAACUGCUCUGAGGGUGACGGUACUUGAGAAGAAAGCCCCGGCUAACUACGUGCCAGCAGCCGCGGUAAUACGUAGGGGGCAAGCGUUGUCCGGAGUUAUUGGGCGUAAAGCGCGCGCAGGCGGUCUUUUAAGUUUGGUGUUUAAGCCCGGGGCUCAACCCCGGUUCGCACUGAAAACUGGGAGACUUGAGUGCAGGAGAGGAAAGCGGAAUUCCACGUGUAGCGGUGAAAUGCGUAGAGAUGUGGAGGAACACCAGUGGCGAAGGCGGCUUUCUGGACUGUAACUGACGCUGAGGCGCGAAAGCGUGGGGAGCAAACAGGAUUAGAU